UAAGUAUGAUAUUUGCAUGGUGCUUUGACCCGACCCGUCUCACGAACAAGGAUCCGUGAGACGGUCUCACACAAGUGUGACCCUUUAUGGAUAAAUAUUGCAUUAUAACAGAGUCAAUAGCACUGAAAAAUCGUGAUGGGAUGAUAAUAUUAGGGAAUAACAGUCUAAUAUAAGUUAUAUAAGUCAAGUUAAUAGUGUAAUUAAGUCCCGCCGGAAAAUAAAUGGUCAUUUUCUCGCCGGGAAAUAAAUCCGGCGGUUUUUCCGGCAAUUUUUCACCGGAAAAAAAAAAAAAACUAUUUUUCGUCAGAAAAAAAUUUCAUUUUCAAGUAGGAUUGAAAUGGGAAUUUACAUUGUUGAAAACAAUUCCCCUUUCAAGCAAGAAAACAUCGAUUGUCAUAUUUACCCUAGUUCCCUGGGGGUUUUACUAAAAAGUAACAAUCACUUGAUCCGCAAUCUGAGGGUGGAAAUUUUGAGAUUGGGGCACAAGGUGGCGAUAUGGUGGCUGAUCAGCAUUGCGAUGGGUUCCCACGGGGUUUUACUAAAAAGUAACAAUCACUUGAUCAGCAAUCUGAGGGUGGAAAUUCAGAGCGAGACUGGGGCACAAGGUGGCGAUAUGGUGGCUGAUCAGCAUUGCGAUGGGCAAUCUGAGGGUGGAAAUUCAGAGCGAGACUGGGGCACAAGGUGGCGAUAUGGUGGCUGAUCAGCAUUGCGAUGGGCAAUCUAAGGGUGAAAAUUCAGAGCGAGACUGGGGCACAAGGUGGCGAUAUGGUGGCUGAUCAGCAUUGCGAAGGGUUCCCUCGGGGUUUUACUGAAAAGUAACAAUCACUUGAUCAGCAAUCUGAGGGUGGAAAUUCAGAGCUAGACUGGGGCAUAAGGUGGCGAUAUGGUGGCUGAUCAGCAUUGCGAUGGGUUCCCUCAGGAUUUUACUAAAAAGUAACAAUCACUUGAUCAGCAAUCUGACGGUGGAAAUUCUGAUACUGGGGCACAAGGUGACGAUAUGGUGGCUGAUCAGCAUUGCGAUGGGGUAAAUUCUGACACUAGCUGUCUAAUUC
Molecule: long non-coding RNA, 1052 nt
Organism: Ipomoea triloba (trilobed morning glory)
Lineage: Eukaryota; Viridiplantae; Streptophyta; Magnoliopsida; Solanales; Convolvulaceae
Exons: 6
Source: RefSeq, a predicted model, not a curated record